RNAcentral lists this ribosomal RNA (253 nucleotides) under uncultured bacterium. RNAcentral describes it as "partial 16S ribosomal RNA". It matches the Rfam family "Bacterial small subunit ribosomal RNA", at positions 524 to 776 of the family's 1533-position model. The record is from RNAcentral.
UACAGAGGUCCCGAGCGUUGUUCGGAUUCACUGGGCGUAAAGGGUGCGUAGGUGGCAUGGUAAGUUUGAUGUGAAAGCUCAGGGCUCAACCCUGAAAUGGCAUUGAAUACUACUGUGCUGGAGGUUUGGAGGGGGGACUGGAAUUCUUGGUGUAGCAGUGAAAUGCGUAGAUAUCGGGAGGAACACCUAUGGCGAAGGCAGCUCGCUGGGACGUUACUGACGCUGAGACGCGAAAGCGUGGGGAGCAAACAGG